RNAcentral lists this ribosomal RNA (450 nucleotides) under uncultured prokaryote. RNAcentral's name for it is "bacterial SSU rRNA". It matches the Rfam family "Bacterial small subunit ribosomal RNA", at positions 355 to 796 of the family's 1533-position model. The record is from RNAcentral.
UCGGGAAUUUUGGGCAAUGGGCGAAAGCCUGACCCAGCAACGCCGCGUGAGGGAUGAAGGCCCUCGGGUCGUAAACCUCUGUCGGGAGGGAAGAACGUUGGCCGGGUGAACAAUCCGGUCGACUGACGGUACCUCCAAAGGAAGCACCGGCUAACUCCGUGCCAGCAGCCGCGGUAAUACGGAGGGUGCAAGCGUUGUUCGGAAUCAUUGGGCGUAAAGCGCGUGUAGGCGGCUUGGUAAGUCGGGUGUGAAAGCCCGGGGCCCAACCCCGGAAUUGCAUUCGAAACUGCCUCGCUAGAGUCCCGGAGGGGAAGGCGGAAUUCCCGGUGUAGAGGUGAAAUUCGUAGAUAUCGGGAGGAACACCAGUGGCGAAGGCGGCCUUCUGGACGGUGACUGACGCUGAGACGCGAAAGCGUGGGGAGCAAACAGGAUUAGAUACCCCCGUAGUCC